This 253-nucleotide ribosomal RNA is filed under the name uncultured bacterium. Its description in RNAcentral is "partial 16S ribosomal RNA". It matches the Rfam family "Bacterial small subunit ribosomal RNA", at positions 524 to 776 of the family's 1533-position model. The record is from RNAcentral.
UACGGAGGGGGCAAGCGUUAUUCGGAAUCAUUGGGCGUAAAGGGCGCGUAGGCGGCUUGGCAAGUCAAAGGUGAAAUCCCUCGGCCCAACCGAGGAACUGCCUUUGAUACUGCUUGGCUCGAGGCCGGGAGAGGGUAGCGGAAUUCCCAGUGUAGCGGUGAAAUGCGUAGAUAUUGGGAGGAACACCAGUGGCGAAGGCGGCUACCUGGACCGGUUCUGACGCUGAGGCGCGAAAGCGUGGGGAGCAAACAGG